GAUGAAGAACGCAGCGAAAUGCGAUACGUAAUGUGAAUUGCAGAAUUCAGUGAAUCAUCGAGUCUUUGAACGCACAUUGCGCCCUCUGGUAUUCCGGAGGGCAUGCCUGUCCGAGCGUCAUUGCUGCCCUCAAGCACGGCUUGUGUGUUGGGCCCCGUCCUCCUUCCGGGGGACGGGUCCGAAAGGCAGCGGCGGCACCGCGUCCGGUCCUCAAGCGUAUGGGGCUUUGUCACUCGCUUUGUAGGCCUGGCCGGCGCUUGCCGAUCAACCAAACUUUUUAUCAGGUUGACCUCGGAUCAGGUAGGGAUACCCGCUGAACUUAAGCAUAUCAAUAAGCGGAGG
RNAcentral lists this unclassified non-coding RNA (342 nucleotides) under soil metagenome. RNAcentral describes it as "partial contains 5.8S ribosomal RNA, internal transcribed spacer 2, and large subunit ribosomal RNA". The stretch from base 1 to 120 matches the Rfam family "5.8S ribosomal RNA", at positions 35 to 154 of the family's 154-position model. The record is from RNAcentral.